Molecule: non-coding RNA, 3001 nt
Organism: Callithrix jacchus (white-tufted-ear marmoset)
Lineage: Eukaryota; Metazoa; Chordata; Mammalia; Primates; Cebidae
Source: RefSeq, a predicted model, not a curated record
CCCCCCCGUCCCACCCUGCCCCCAACUCAACCUUCUGCGCCGGUGCAAUCGGCGUAGGGGUUGCCUUUGGGAAGAUUCUUCGGCUUCAAGGUGGAGACAGACCCGGGGUCCUUAGGUCUGUUCGCCACUCAGGAAUCCUUGUCAUUUGAGGAUGUUACUAUGGGCUUCACCCAGGAGGAGUGGCAGCAUCUGGACCCUGCUCAGAGGACCCUGUACAAGGAUGUGAUGCUAGAGAACUACAGCCCUGUCGUCUCAGUAGGAUAUUACAUCCCUAAACCAGGAGUGAUCGUCAAAUUGGAACAAGGAGAGCAUCCAUGGAUAUUAGAGGAAGAGCUCCCAGGCCACAAAUACCCAAGACAGGUUUCACCGUGUUGGUUAGUCUGGUCUCGAACUCCUGACCUCAAGCAACCCACCCGCCUCAGCCUCCGGAAGUAUUGGAAGUACAGGCGUAAACUACUGCACCUGGCCACAAUCAAUCUCUUGAACUUACUCUAACAAACUAAAGGAAAUUUUAUAUCGUUUGACCAACAUCUCCCCAACCACCUCCCAACCCCCACUGCAGCCUCUGGUGAUUACUGUUCUAUUCUCUCCUUUAUGAAUUCAGCUUUUUAGAUUCUGCAUGUGGUAUUUGUCAUUUACUUAAUGUCCUCCUGAAUGUAUAUUUUCAUCAUACAGUAAAUUGCUGCUUCAUCUAUGAGCCCUAUCGUAAGGCUGGAUGCCUCCGACAAUACCAGUGCAUGAUUGGCAGCGUUAUUGCAGAGUCACUUCUUAUCUUGGUCAGACACUAAGAAUGCCAGUAGCAUUCCUGGAAUUGCUCUUCAAAUGGAGAAGUUUUUAGCAUUUGAGGAGAGAACUAGCCAUAGAAACUUAGGAGUUUGCACUGUAGCUCUCCCUAUUGUGGUUUCCAGAGAUUCCAGACAGCAUUCUUAACUAACAAAACCACUGGAUCUGACAUCUUCUAUGGCUCAACUGGUAGGGUGGCUCACAGCAUAGCCUGAUCCUUUCUGAAAGAGUCCUCUUUGCCUCAUAACAUAGUAAAUGGGAUGGGACUAUAUUGCCAGGAGUGGUACACGCAGCCUCCAAAGUCCAAACCAGCCUUUCAGUCAGUCACCCUGCCUCUUUCUUAGUAGUAAUGGCGCAGGUGCAUUGACUUGUCCUUUGCCUUGGAUGGGUGUUUCAUCAGGUCUCAGAACCCUGUAUCUCUGGAGGCUUCACUGAUGUGCUAAGCCACUGACUAUAUUUAACCGCUAUUCCCCACCCUCUGCUGUUCUUGUUUCUGACCAUAGCAUCCAGAGUACUUGCCGCUUGCUGUAUCUCAGAUUGAUAUAAUGUCAUUAGUAGGUGGAUCCUGAUACUCUGCAAAAUUGCAUGAUAAUCAGGGUCCUUGAGGGAUAUGGUGUGAUGGAGAAAAGGAGAGUUAACAUAGUCAUGGGACAAGACAAUAAAUAUGUAUUGCUGUUCUCCCAAGUGAGGUAGUGUUGAUCUUUUUCAGUUACAUAAGCAAUGUCCUUGCUGGCUACUGCCUAUCUCACUCAGAAGCAUAGCAAUCUGUGAGCCAACGAGCCAUCACCUCAGAGGCCUGGAUUCGAGGCCCUGUAUGUAGUAUACUGGUAUUUCUACCCACUUUGCUUUUGACUGUUAGUGUUGCCUAAUAGAAUGGUAUCAUCUCUGCUGGCAUUUGGGAGGCAAGUUCCACGCGCAUCUUAUGUCACUGAAUUGUUGCCGAUAGAAGACAGUCACCUUACUUGUGCACUCCUUAUCACUCUCGUGUCCUCUGGGCCCUGUGGUAACAUGUCAGUCAGGAGUCCUCUACCCUUAUGUAAUAAAACCAUUCUAAAAUGUCCAUGACUAGCGCCAUCUGACCCUCACCUCAAUAUCGUCCUCAAUUUCAUUUUUUUAGGGUUACUUUAGCCAGUGAAUUGAUUUUCAUCUGAAGGGCCUUUACAAUUUAACUUGUUUUAUUAUUUGUUCCAAAGUAAGAAAUAAAUAAUGGACCACACAUUCUGGUAAUUUUUAGCCAUGGUUUUAUUCUUGUAACAUAUUUAUUCAUGAUUAAAGGUAUAAAUAUAGAAAAUUGUCUUCUCUGCGAUUUGAAGAUUGAUGUUGAUUGAUGUCUCUGCGUGUACUUAGUUUUCUGAUUAUGUAAUAUGUACAAAUGUUGCAGUCUUUACCUUUGGGCAUAUGACUGUAUAUCGGACAUGAAAUAUCUGGUAAUCUCAAUUUAGAAUCUGUGAGGGGAAAAUUCUAGCCAAGAUCCAGAUUGUUCAGUAACUUUUUUUUUUUGAGAUGGAGUCUCACUCUGUUACCCAGGUUAAAGUGUUGUGGUGUGAUCUCAGCUCACUGCAGCCUCCUCCUAGGUUCAAGCAAUUCUCCUGCCUAAGCCUCCUGAGUAGCUGAGAUUACAUGUGUGUGCCAUCAUGUCUGGCUAAUUUUUGUAUAUUUAGUAGAGACGAGGUUUCACCAUGUUGGCCAGGCUGGUCUCCAACUUCUGGCCUCAGGUCAUCUGCCUGCCUCAGCCUCCCAAAGUGCUGGGAUUACAGGUGUGGGCCACAGUGCCCAGCCUAUGUAGUUACAAUUUCAUAUGAUUAGUUCACAGGUAUUUUAAGGUUUAGAUUACAUUGUCGUCAUCAUUAGUGUUAGCUGUAGAACUAUAGCUAAGAAAUAUGAAGUUUUUUGAAAGUAUUGUGUAUUAGUUAUGUAUUAAAAUUUUUUCUGCCAUGUUUUGACAUCUUGCUGGCUUGUGAGAGACUGCCCCUCCCAGGAUUAGCCAUUUCCUACACGUGGCAAAGGGCUCAGCCUGGAGCGUAUCUUUGAUUUGCAAACCAACAAUCCCAAGGCUCAAUCACUUCUUUAUCUAACUCUCCCAUUUCAAGCCAGUUGUCUCCUAUACUAGAGCAUCCCAGGGUCAGGUGCCAAAUGAUUAGAGACCACCCCUAGAGCCUGCUGAAGUUAUUCAGACUAGCCCAACUUAAAUUGUUCACCGUGACCUGUGUUGCCUUUU